AGAAAAAGCAGGGACUUCAAAUGGGAUGAUGAGUAUUGUAAUGACAUCAGAACAAAAGGUUAUAUUUGUGAAAAACAAGUUUGCAACUUCUGUGAUACUUGUUAGAUCGUCAACACCAAUUACACAACCAACGUAUUGUGACAACCCGAUGACCAUAGGUCUACAUUAAUUAGAAUAUAUCAUUCUGUAUCUGCAUGCUGUACUAAUAAAACAGAUCAUCCUAUAGA
This 227-nucleotide long non-coding RNA is filed under the name Saccoglossus kowalevskii. RNAcentral's name for it is "uncharacterized LOC102803787". The record is from RNAcentral. Lineage: Eukaryota; Metazoa; Hemichordata; Enteropneusta; Harrimaniidae.